ACCCGCAGCUAAGGUCCCAAAGUCAUGGCUAAGUGGUGAACGAAGUGGGAAGGCAUAGACAGCCAGGAGGUUGGCUUAGAAGCAGCCACCCUUUAAAGAAAGCGUAAUAGCUCACUGGUCGAGUCGGCCCGCGCGAAAGAUUUAACGGGGCUAAGCCAUGCACCGAAGCUCGGGGUUUACUCUUCGGAGUAAGCGGUAGAGGAGCGUUCCGUACGCCUGUGAAGGUGGAUCGUAAGGUCUGCUGGAGGUAUCGGAAGUGCGAAUGCUGACAUGAGUAACGAUAAGGGGGGUGAAAAGCCUCCCCGCCGAAAGCCCAAGGUUUCCUAGCGCAACGUUCAUCGGCGCAGGGUGAGUCGGUCCCUAAGGCGAGGCGGAAACGCGUAGUCGAUGGGAAGCUGGUUAAUAUUCCAGCACUUUAUCGCAGUGCGAUGGGGGGACGGAGAAGGGUAGGUGUACCGGGCGUUGGUUGUCCCGGGGAAAGGAGGUAGGCAUGAGGCGUAGGCAAAUCCGCGCUUCUUUAUGCCGAGCACCGAGACGAGUCCUUUUAGGACGAAGUCACUGAUCCCACGCUUCCAGGAAAAGCCUCUAAGCUUCAGCUGCGAUAGAACCGUACCGCAAUCCGACACAGGUAGGCAGGGUGAGAAUCCCAAGGCGCUUGAGAGAACUCGGGUGAAGGAACUAGGCAACAUAGCACCGUAACUAUAACGGUCCUAAGGUAGCGAAAUUCCUUGUCGGGUAAGUUCCGACCUGCACGAAUGGUGUAACGACAGCGGCGCUGUCUCCACCCGAGACUCAGUGAAAUUGAAAUCGCUGUGAAGAUGCAGCGUUCCCGCGGCAAGACGGAAAGACCCCGUGAACCUUUACUAUAGCUUUACAUUGAACGUUGAGUUCGUCUGUGUAGGAUAGGUGGGAGGCAUUGAAGAGUGGUCGCCAGAUCGCAUGGAGCCAACCUUGAAAUACCACCCUGAUGUGCUUGACGUUCUAACCUGGGUCCGUAAUCCGGAUCGGGGACUAUGUAUGGUGGGUAGUUUGACUGGGGCGGUCUCCUCCCAAAGAGUAACGGAGGAGCUCGAAGGUACGCUCAGCGCGGUCGGACAUCGCGCACUGUGUGCAAAGGCAUAAGCGUGCUUGACUGCGAGAUCGACGGAUCAAGCAGGUACGAAAGUAGGACUUAGUGAUCCGGUGGUUCUGUAUGGAAGGGCCAUCGCUCAACGGAUAAAAGGUACUCCGGGGAUAACAGGCUGAUUCCGCCCAAGAGUUCAUAUCGACGGCGGAGUUUGGCACCUCGAUGUCGGCUCAUCACAUCCUGGGGCUGUAGCCGGUCCCAAGGGUAUGGCUGUUCGCCAUUUAAAGUGGUUCGCGAGCUGGGUUCAGAACGUCGUGAGACAGUUCGGUCCCUAUCUGUCGUGGGCGUUGGAGGUUUGAGAGGGGCUGCUCCUAGUACGAGAGGACCGGAGUGGACGAAUCCCUGGUGUUCCGGUUGUCACGCCAGUGGCACUGCCGGGUAUCUACAUUCGGAAGCGAUAACCGCUGAAAGCAUCUAAGUGGGAAGCGCGCCUCAAGAUGAGACCUCCCGAGCCAUAAGGCUCCUAAAGGAACCAUGAAGACUACGUGGUUGAUAGGGUGGGUGUGUAUCGCAGUAAUGCCGAGCUAACCACUACUAAUGAUCCGUGCGGCUUGACCG
This 1684-nucleotide ribosomal RNA is filed under the name metagenome. RNAcentral describes it as "bacterial LSU rRNA". It matches the Rfam family "Bacterial large subunit ribosomal RNA", at positions 1031 to 2925 of the family's 2925-position model. The record is from RNAcentral.